UACGAAGGGGGCUAGCGUUGCUCGGAAUCACUGGGCGUAAAGGGUGCGUAGGCGGGUUUUUAAGUCAGGGGUGAAAUCCUGGAGCUCAACUCCAGAACUGCCUUCGAUACUGGCGAUCUCGAGUUCGGGAGAGGUGAGUGGAACUGCGAGUGUAGAGGUGAAAUUCGUAGAUAUUCGCAAGAACACCAGUGGCGAAGGCGGCUCACUGGCCCGAUACUGACGCUGAGGUGCGAAAGCGUGGGGAGCAAACAGG
RNAcentral lists this ribosomal RNA (253 nucleotides) under uncultured bacterium. RNAcentral's name for it is "partial 16S ribosomal RNA". It matches the Rfam family "Bacterial small subunit ribosomal RNA", at positions 524 to 776 of the family's 1533-position model. The record is from RNAcentral.